UUUAAGGAUUCUUUUGAAUCCACACUGAGAUAACAAAAAAACUAA
This is a non-coding RNA of Corvus brachyrhynchos (American crow), 45 nucleotides long. NCBI's taxonomy places the organism in Eukaryota, Metazoa, Chordata, Aves, Passeriformes, Corvidae. The record is from Rfam.